UUACCAACCCGAUGCAAACUGCGAAUACCGGAGAAUGUUAUCACGGGAGACACACGGCGGGUGCUAACGUCCGUCGUGAAGAGGGAAACAACCCAGACCGCCAGCUAAGGUCCCAAAGUCAUGGUUAAGUGGGAAACGAUGUGGGAAGGCCCAGACAGCCAGGAUGUUGGCUUAGAAGCAGCCAUCAUUUAAAGAAAGCGUAAUAGCUCACUGGUCGAGUCGGCCUGCGCGGAAGAUGUAACGGGGCUAAACCAUGCACCGAAGCUGCGGCAGCGACACUGUGUGUUGUUGGGUAGGGGAGCGUUCUGUAAGCCUGUGAAGGUGUGUCGUGAGGCAUGCUGGAGGUAUCAGAAGUGCGAAUGCUGACAUAAGUAACGAUAAAGCGGGUGAAAAGCCCGCUCGCCGGAAGACCAAGGGUUCCUGUCCAACGUUAAUCGGGGCAGGGUGAGUCGACCCCUAAGGCGAGGCCGAAAGGCGUAGUCGAUGGGAAACGGGUUAAUAUUCCCGUACUUGGUGUUACUGCGAAGGGGGGACGGAGAAGGCUAUGUUGGCCGGGCGACGGUUGUCCCGGUUUAAGCGUGUAGGUGUGUGUUCCAGGUAAAUCCGGUUCACUUUAACACUGAGGCGUGACGACGAGGCACUACGGUGCUGAAGCAACAAAUGCCCUGCUUCCAGGAAAA
This 680-nucleotide ribosomal RNA is filed under the name Salmonella enterica subsp. enterica serovar Enteritidis. RNAcentral's name for it is "partial 23S ribosomal RNA". It matches the Rfam family "Bacterial large subunit ribosomal RNA", at positions 936 to 1616 of the family's 2925-position model. The record is from RNAcentral. Lineage: Bacteria; Pseudomonadati; Pseudomonadota; Gammaproteobacteria; Enterobacterales; Enterobacteriaceae.